GUCAGCAGUCUCGGCGGCUCCAUUCACACCGCAGCCCUAGCAGAUUAGGCAGAGCGCGCGACUCCUUGGGGGCGUCCUCGCAGUGGGGGUGGGGGGCGGGCCCGAGGGAGCGUCCCUCUCGGAGACACCCUCCUCUCCUACCCGCCACGCGCUCUCCGCAGGCCUGUGGGACACAAUCCUCCCCCCACCUCCCCUUCUCGGCCUUCGCGAGUGUGGGCGCCUUGGGGUACUGGCGAGCCUCUCCAGGUGACGUUCUCCGCGGGAGCUCUGCAGUUACCCAGGCGGACGCGCCCGCUCUGCUGGCCUCAGCGCCCUGAGCUGGGCAGAGGGGGAGACAGUCUGGCCGGGAAGAAGGUCCAACCUCCGCCCGCCCCAGCAGCACUGAGACCUGUGGAAGAGGAUGUGGUCUGAAUCGCCGAUUGGCAGAGCUGGAAAUUAAACUCCUCGUUCUACAGAAAAGGAAACUGAGGCCCAGGCAGAGGGAGGAAAGGCAGAUGUGGAGUGCAGUGGUUAAGAGCAAGAGAUUGGUGGCCAGAAAAAGGAAUCUCAGCUCCACCAGGUAACCAGCAGCUGUGCAACCAUAGACGAGCUCCGCAGCCGCUGUAACAAUAACGGUGCCUAUUCAAGUUGCAAGAACUAGAUAAGCUCUGCCAGUAUUUCCCACUGGCCAAAUCCUACGGGAAGUGGAAGAUAAGAGAGCCCAUGGAUGCAAUCGAUUCAGCUUGUGGGAUAUUAGCUCCCCGACCAGGGAUUGAACCCGGGCCCUGGCAGUGGAAGCUUGGAGUUCUAACCACUGGACCACCAGGGAAUUCCCAGUAUGUCAAGAUCAUAAUGAAUAUGGAUUACCACUCUGGAGAAUUCAACUGAUGAAGAACAGGGGUUGGCAAUCUUCCCUUUGGUGUAUUUUUGGUAAAUUGCUGACCCUGAUGUAGAAGGUUCUCCAGCCCCUGGGAUAAUGAGCUAUGCACAACUGCUUGCAGCUUCCAGGCCACCUGCCAGGACUGAUGUUCUUCCAAUAGUCAAAGCUCCAUCAGCCUGAAUCCCUGAGUAAGAAUCACACAGAGCGGAGGCCCUGCUGACCUGGGAUGAACGUGUAGCAUAAAUGGGAAAUAAACCUUUGUUUUUCUAAGCCACUGGAGGUUGUUUGUUGCUGCAGCAUAAGGAAGAAAGGGUGAAAGAGAAGCUUCCCAUGCCUGGUUUAUGAACGUGGCCUUGAAAAUGUCCACAGAACUAUUGUUGUCUUGUUGAGUCUGCAGCCAGGAAGGCAGAAAUCACUGCAGCAAAGCAGGUGUGAACGUCCCCCUACUUCAGAGGCAACUCUCUUUGAAGCUGGAAAAUCAAGGACGCUGGUACCUUCAAGGAAACAAGGAUAUAAUUAUCACAACACCCAAUUGGCCGGUGACCUUCCAUUCCUCAGGACUGCCCUACUCCCUUCACUGGCACCAGCCCAGGUCCUCACAGACUGAGCUCUGUCCCAGAUCGCUCAGCCAGAGGAACAGCCCACUCCCUCACCCUUUGAAAGUGUUCUUAAUCUCUUUCUACUGCGCUGCUCUUGCUGACAUAAAUCCGCCAGCCCAGGGGGCCUCUGAGCCCCCCACAGAGGGAGGCCCUUCAGGCCAAGCGGAGUCUGAGCAGUGAAGGCGUAGAAUUUAUGCUUCCUCUCACCUGUGCUGUCUGUCUGUGGCCUCUACUCCAGGCUGGUUUUGAAGGUUUGACCAGAACCUCCCAGCUCCUUGCCAAGUCUGCCAUCAUCACCUCAGUCACAGAAGCAGACUUCUCAAGGCCACUGGAAGCUAAUAACAGGGACUCUCAACUUCAUUAUUAUAUUUGAAAUGUUGAAAGCUAAAGCCUAAUAAAAUAAGUUCAGAAAAACAAAAA
Long non-coding RNA from Balaenoptera ricei (Rice's whale), 1878 nucleotides. RefSeq lists it as uncharacterized. The transcript has 10 exons. The record is from RefSeq and is a predicted model, not a curated record. NCBI's taxonomy places the organism in Eukaryota, Metazoa, Chordata, Mammalia, Artiodactyla, Balaenopteridae.